UACGGAGGGAGCUAGCGUUGUUCGGAAUUACUGGGCGUAAAGCGCACGUAGGCGGCUUUUUAAGUCAGGGGUGAAAUCCCGGGGCUCAACCCCGGAACUGCCCUUGAAACUGGGAAGCUAGAAUCUUGGAGAGGCGAGUGGAAUUCCGAGUGUAGAGGUGAAAUUCGUAGAUAUUCGGAAGAACACCAGUGGCGAAGGCGGCUCACUGGCGCAUUUCUGACGCUGAGGUGCGACAGCGUGGGGAGCAAACAGG
This 253-nucleotide ribosomal RNA is filed under the name uncultured bacterium. RNAcentral's name for it is "partial 16S ribosomal RNA". It matches the Rfam family "Bacterial small subunit ribosomal RNA", at positions 524 to 776 of the family's 1533-position model. The record is from RNAcentral.